This 682-nucleotide long non-coding RNA is filed under the name Pongo abelii (Sumatran orangutan). RNAcentral's name for it is "lincRNA". The record is from RNAcentral. Lineage: Eukaryota; Metazoa; Chordata; Mammalia; Primates; Hominidae.
CUCUGAAACAGAUCCAAGAUGUUGUUUGAGCCAUGCAACUAGAAGAUCUCAUAGAACUAAAGUUAUCUAAUUUACAGAAAAGGUUUUACGUGAUGUUUGUUGUACAGAUUCAUAUGAAAACUGUAGUUCAAACUCCAAGGUUUAAGAAGUAAGAAAGAUCAUGCCAUUUGCAACAAACAUGCAUGCAUAUUUGAAAAGCAACUGUAAGUAUGCUAUUGGACAUUGGUAAAGAUUGAAUAUCUGACCAUGGCAUAUCAAGAAACCCUGGAAUGAGUACUGCUUAUCAAGAUCUGGGUAUGAGAAGACUUAAAAAGUCAGAUAGUGAGAACCAGCUAGAAUCCAUGAUCUGUUGUGGGAAAACUAGAAGACCAAAAAAAGCACAAAAUCAAGAAAGAAGUCUCUUUUCACAUGAAAGUGGCCUGAAGACAAAUACUGCUAUGAAUGGUUACAUCUAGGACUACUGAGAUUAGCCCCAGAUUCAACUCAUUUUUUUUUUCAUUUGCUCAGCAAUAUGACAUGUUUAUGCUGAUUAGCUAAAAAGUUAUGUGAGGAAUGGGCAACAAUAUCUCUAAGGCAAGAUAUGCUCAGAUCCGAUAUAGUUCAUAUAGACCUUGUCAGAGUAAAUGACCAUGUGCCUUUCAGAACACUAAAGAAUAAAGUCUUUCCACAUUAGAAUGACAAA